Molecule: ribosomal RNA, 1290 nt
Filed under: Thrips tabaci
Lineage: Eukaryota; Metazoa; Arthropoda; Insecta; Thysanoptera; Thripidae
Description: eukaryotic LSU rRNA
Rfam family: Eukaryotic large subunit ribosomal RNA (bases 509-1290)
Source: RNAcentral
UAUAUCUCUGCUUGGUAUACGAAAACGGACACCCGGUUGUGUGAUUCGGAACAUGAACUAGAACUUGAGGCAAAUGGGGGCCUCGUGUCUGACCUGGGCCUCCCGUGGAGGGGCGUGUUAAAGAAAAGUAUCCCAGUGCCCCAGGCACAGCACACCUCUCGUGUGUGUAGAGCGGCGAUCUGGGUCUCUCUCUUUGCGAGUAGUACCUUAAAUGCCUUGAGCAGAGGCUUCUUCAGUCUUACUGAUUAUAAGGAAAUCAGUUCGUCGCAAGAUGAACCUUGAUGGACUUGGUCGGUUCGACACGAAAAAGCACGCAAACUUGAGAGUACGUCUCUUUGCUUCACGCAUUCUACAAUCAAAAGUUCAGUUGAAAACAAGUAGUUGGGCGUGAAGACCCCAGCGAACGGGUGCAGUACAGGACUCGAAGCUCGUGCAUUUAGCGUGCGCCUGAGUGGAAUGUGUUGUGCUGCAUCACUGAAUAAAAACGAUUCGAAUGCAUUUUGUAAUCCGACCUCAGUUCAGGAGAGACUACCCCCGAGAUUUAAGCAUAUUAAUACGGGGAGGAAAAGAAACUAAAAAGGAUUCCAUUAGUACCGGCGAGGGAACAUGGAGAAGCCCAGCGCUGAAUCCCCUCGGCUUACGUCGUGCGGGAAAUGUAGCGUUAAGGAGUGUCCGUCAACACGCAUGAGUAUCGCUCGCUUAAGUCCAACUUGAACGGGGCCACACAGAGGGUGACAUGCCCGUGUAGCAGCUGGUACGAAGCGUGUGGGCAUCUCCUCAGAGUCGGUUUGCUUGAAAAUGCAGACCUAAGAGGGUGGUAAACUCCAUCUAAGGCUAAAUAUGACCACGAGACCGAUAGCACACAAGUACCGUGAGGGAAAGGUGAAAAGAACUUUGAAGAGAGAGUUCAAGAGUACGUGAAACUGAGCUGAUGUAAAGCGGUCAGAUGCGAAAAGUGCGAACGGAGUUGACUCAACUACACUGCGAUACCUCACUGGAGAGGGGACAGUGCGGACCGGGACCCCUUCCCGGAGCCUCCGCGCUGCCCCGAUUCGGGGACGGUUCAACAGCUGUAACCGCACUUCUGCUUAGUAGCACGUCGCGACUCGUUGGGUCGCCGCUCCAGGGCCCGAGGUGGAGCACUCGCUUUUGCGAAGACCCCCGGUGACCUGAGCGGUGCCCGACGGUGUUAUACGGGCGAGGCCUUUCCGCCAAAGGGAGGAGCUUAAGUGCUCAUGGCCUCGCCGGUCCGCGGCGCUUCUGCUUCCGCUACCUGACCCGACCCCCCGA